GGAAAAGAAUAAUCAAUUGAAAUCUCAAACAUACAAAUAUGAAGAUAAUUACACUAGAAAUAACACAACUUCUUCCACAACUCUUGUAUCAAGACUACAAACAAAUUACAGACAUAACUAAUAUCUGCAGAGAACAAACUAUUUUUCCAGAGUCCUGAUGAACCAUGCUCCAUGUACAGUAUCUCACUAUAUGGGUAGGACGAGUAUCGUAAAAGCCAACUCAUCUGAUAACCUGAUCCCAGCGCUUGAUUUCAUCAUCCGAUGCACGCUGUUGUAUCAGCGAAUAGGGUGGUACUGCGUGAUCCCUCGCUUUGGAGGCAAC
Molecule: unclassified non-coding RNA, 322 nt
Filed under: Hevea brasiliensis (rubber tree)
Lineage: Eukaryota; Viridiplantae; Streptophyta; Magnoliopsida; Malpighiales; Euphorbiaceae
Source: RNAcentral